RNAcentral lists this long non-coding RNA (1227 nucleotides) under Homo sapiens (human). Its description in RNAcentral is "HSALNT0077756". The record is from RNAcentral. Lineage: Eukaryota; Metazoa; Chordata; Mammalia; Primates; Hominidae.
GUGUCAGUGUGCCCCUGCUGGGGGGUGCCUCCCAGUUAGGCUGCUCGGGGGUCAGGGGUCAGGGACCCACUUGAGGAGGCAGUCUGCCCAUUCUCAGAUCUCCAGCUGUGUGCUGGGAGAACCACUGCUCUCUUCAAAGCUGUCAGACAGGGACAUUUAAGUCUGCAGAGGUUACUGCUGUCUUUUUGUUUGUGUGUGCCCUGCCCCCAGAGGUGGAGCCUACAGAAGCAGGCAGGCCUCCUUGAGCUGUGAUGGGCUCCACCCAGUUCGAGCUUCCUGGCUGCUUUGUUUACCUAAUCAAGCCUGGGCAAUGGCGGGCGCCCCUCCCCCAGCCUCGUUGCCGCCUUGCAGUUUGAUCUCAGACUGCUGUGUUAGCAAUCAGCGAGACUCCGUGGGCAUAGGAACCUCCGAGCCAGGUGCGGGAUGUAAUCUCGUGGUGCACCGUUUUUUAAGCCAGUCCGAAAAGCGCAAUAUUCGGGUGGGAGUGACCCAAUUUUCCAGGUGCGUCCGUCACCCCUUUCUUUGACUCGGAAAGGGAACUCCCUGACCCCUUGCGCUUCCCAAGUGAGGCAAUGCCUCUCCCUGCUUCGGCUCGCACACGGUGCGCGCACCCACUGACCUGUGCCCACUGUCUGGCACUCCCUAGUGAGAUGAACCCGGUACCUCAGAUGGAAAUGCAGAAAUCACCUGUCUUCUGCGUCACUCAAGCUGGGAGCUGUAGACCGGAGCUGUUCCUAUGCGGCCAUCUUGGCUCCUCCCCAGAAUAUGGCCUUUUUAAGAAUGCAGUGGAGGUGAUACUAUGGUCAUAAUGACCAGGGGCUGGGUCAGAAGAACUUCAGAUUGAGCCUCUUGAAACAUUUGCUCUUGGAAUUCUCCCUCUCAGGAAACUAACAGCCUGCUAUGAAGCCCAAGCCACAAAGAGAGGCCAAGGGGAAAUAAACAGAGUGUGAUUAUAUGCAAAACCUACAAGAAUGAGGACCUCCAAACUCAGUGUACAGAGUGAUUUUCUGCUGAAACAAUUGGAAAAUAAAAGAGACAUCAGUGUGUGAAUGACGACUUUCUGUUGCUGACUUGGAAGACAGAGGAAUUGGGUCAUGAGCCGAGGAAGGUGGGCAGCUUCUAAAAGGCGGAAAAGGCAGGGGAUGGCUCUGGCAGAGAAUCACUCCUGAGUACAACUUUCUGGCGGAAGCUCUAGUAAGUAUCCACAUCCAAAAUGCCUGGAGGAUC